RNAcentral lists this ribosomal RNA (482 nucleotides) under uncultured bacterium. Its description in RNAcentral is "partial 16S ribosomal RNA". It matches the Rfam family "Bacterial small subunit ribosomal RNA", at positions 30 to 507 of the family's 1533-position model. The record is from RNAcentral.
AUUGAACGCUGGCGGCAUGCUUUACACAUGCAAGUCGAACGGUAACAGGCCGCAAGGUGCUGACGAGUGGCGAACGGGUGAGUAAUGCAUCGGAACGUGCCCAGUCGUGGGGGAUAACUACUCGAAAGAGUAGCUAAUACCGCAUACGAUCUAUGGAUGAAAGCGGGGGACCGUAAGGCCUCGCGCGAUUGGAUCGGCCGAUGUCAGAUUAGGUAGUUGGUGGGGUAAAGGCUCACCAAGCCAACGAUCUGUAGCUGGUCUGAGAGGACGACCAGCCACACUGGGACUGAGACACGGACCAGACUCCUACGGGAGGCAGCAGUGGGGAAUUUUGGACAAUGGGCGCAAGCCUGAUCCAGCAAUGCCGAGUGCAGGAAGAAGGCCUUCGGGUUGUAAACUGCUUUUGUACGGAACGAAACGGCUCUGGUUAAUACCCGGGGCUAAUGACGGUACCGUAAGAAUAAGCACCGGCUAACUACGUG